UUUGGUGAGGUAAUGGCUCACCAAGGCUAAGACGUCUAGGCGGACUGAGAGGUUGACCGCCAACACUGGGACUGAGACACUGCCCAGACUCCUACGGGAGGCUGCAGUCGAGAAUCAUUCGCAAUGGGCGCAAGCCUGACGAUGCGACGCCGUGUGAGCGAAGAAGGCUUUCGGGUUGUAAAGCUCUUUCGCCUGGGAACAAGGGAUGUCGGUAAAUAGCCGGCAAACUUGAGGGUACCAGGUAAAGAAGCACCGGCUAACUCCGUGCCAGCAGCUGCGGUAAUACGGAGGGUGCAAGCAUUAAUCGGAUUUAUUGGGCGUAAAGGGCGAGUAGGCGGAGAGAUAAGUCAGACGUUAAAUUUCGGGGCUCAACCCUGGAGUGCAUCUGAAACUGUUUUUCUUGAGGAUAGGCGGAGAAAACGGAAUUCCACGUGUAGCGGUGAAAUGCGUAGAUAUGUGGAGGAACACCGGUGGCGAAGGCGGUUUUCUAGCUUAUUCCUGACGCUGAGGCGCGAAAGCGAGGGGAGCAAACAGGAUUAGAUACCCUGGUAGUCCUCGCUGUAAACGAUGUACACUUGGUGUAGACGGACUCAACUCCGUUUGUGCCGGAGCUAACGUGUUAAGUGUACCGCCUGAGGAGUACGCUCGCAAGGGUGAAACUUAAAAGAAUUGACGGGGACCCGCACAAGCAGUGGAGCAUGUGGUUUAAUUCGAUGCAACGCGAAGAACCUUACCCAGGCUCGAAGUGCAGAGGACAGUAUCAGAAAUGAUAUCUCCCGUAAGGGUCUCUGUAUAGGUGCUGCAUGGCUGUCGUCAGCUCGUGCCGUGAGGUGUUGGGUUAAGUCCCGCAACGAGCGCAACCCUUAUCGUUAGUUGCCAACGUUUUGGAUGGGGACUCUAACGAGACUGCCACGGUGAACGUGGAGGAAGGUGAGGAUGACGUCAAGUCAGCAUGGCCCUUAUGUCUGGGGCUACACACGUGCUACAAUGGCCGGUACAGAAGGCAGCGAAACCGUGAGGUGAAGCAAAUCCCAAAAACCGGUCCCAGUUCGGAUUGCAGUCUGCAACUCGACUGCAUGAGGUUGGAAUUGCUAGUAAUGACGCGUCAGCUACAGCGUCGUGAAUACGUUCCCGGGUCUUGUACACACCGCCCGUCACAUCAUGGAAGUUGGUUUUACCCGAAGUCACUGACUCAACCGCAAGGGGAGAGGUGCCUAAGGUAAGGCUGAUAACUGGGAUGAAGUCGUAACAAGGUA
This 1256-nucleotide ribosomal RNA is filed under the name metagenome. RNAcentral describes it as "bacterial SSU rRNA". It matches the Rfam family "Bacterial small subunit ribosomal RNA", at positions 248 to 1498 of the family's 1533-position model. The record is from RNAcentral.